This is a non-coding RNA of Paramuricea clavata, 1048 nucleotides long. NCBI's taxonomy places the organism in Eukaryota, Metazoa, Cnidaria, Anthozoa, Malacalcyonacea, Plexauridae. The record is from the annotation of a GenBank genome assembly.
UCAUCAUCCUUUUCCCAUCCUAGAUACGUGCAUUAUCUGGACGAUUACAUGGCGCGCAAAAUAUCUAUUUCGGGCAGAUCUAUUUUCCUGAAACACAUUGUGGUUCAUGUCACACCAAAUUACGAUGGCAAGGGAGGAUGUCGUCCAUUCUUUUCCAUUUAUCAAGAAUUUAACCUUGUAUACGAAACGAAUGUCUAGUAAGUUCAACUGACGUGUGAAGUCCUGUCCGAGGCUCUGAUCAUAAAUAUUUUGUCCUUAGAGGUUCCUCAUACAGAGUUAUGUCUAGUAAGGCAAGCGUGGUGACGACUACACCCUAAGUGCUGGUUAACUAUACUUCAGGGGUGUAUAUUCUUCUAUAAUUCCCCCCCCCCCCCUCUGGGGUGGGGGAAAAGAAUCAAAGGGUCUUAGGGCUAGGGAAGAAAAAGGUGUUAGGGCUAGGGGAAAAAGUAGAAAAAAUGGAAAGGCAGAGGGAAAAGAAGAGAAAAAUUUCCGCGGGUUUUUUAAGUUUAGAUAUAGGUAAUGAGAACCAUAUUGGUGCCCUAGUAAUAAAUUUAUGCCACAAUAGUCCCUAAAUGUUAGAUCAAAAAUGUAGUGUGAAAUAUUGAUAGUGUGAUGGCCUCGUGUUGUUCGCACAAUGUAUGCUUGUGAAAAAAUGUUGUAUUUAAUAAAACUGAGAAUAAAAGAUAAAAAACUCACUUGUAUAUGUAUAAAUGUGAACCUAAGAAAUAUAAGUGUAGGUGUAGACUUGUGGAACAUAAAACUGGAGAUGCGUGUGUGAAAUUGUAACGGAAAAUAUCCUGUUCUGUGGAACACCGCGGAAAAACGUCUGCGCAUGCGUCAACCUUACCUGUAAUAGUAUUGCGAACUUGAUGAGAAGCUGUUCCGAACGUUUCCGAAGGCUCAAAAUGGCGGUAAAAAGGAGUGACUUCAUUGUGCGUCUUUACAGCCAGAUUUCGAGCGCAAAAAUAAACAUGUCAUUCUAAAAACUAGGAAUAAAUACAACCAGAAGGUUCAAGAAGUUGUAUUGUACAAGAACAUGAACUAAAGG